Mercenaria mercenaria is the source of this 754-nucleotide long non-coding RNA. RefSeq lists it as uncharacterized. The record is from RefSeq and is a predicted model, not a curated record. NCBI's taxonomy places the organism in Eukaryota, Metazoa, Mollusca, Bivalvia, Venerida, Veneridae. The transcript has 5 exons.
UGAAUUAGCGAAUUGUUUCCCUUUGAAAUCAACACGCCAUUAUCGGUGGAUACAUGUCUGAAACUGGGUCAGAGAAUACAUGCAGUUAUUGCUCUGAAUAUACGCGGAUAUUUAAAGUGCAUGGCGGAUUUAAUUAUUGUUAUGGAUAACCUCCAGCAGUAAGAAAUAUAAAGGCUCACUGCAGUUUUGAGUGCUCAACAAGCAUUGACCCCAUACUAUGCUCAGCAAGUAGGGCCCUUGUAUUUCUGUGGAUCCUCAUGCAGUACAGUACUGCUGUUAGAGAGGAGCAAACAGUGUGGUAUCUAUGGUCCACCAUCACUUCAAGCAUCAUGGCUAUGGAGAAAAGAAUGUUUCAUUACAUAUGGACAAUUAUAGUGGACAAAAUAAGAAAAGUGUUGUAAUAAGCUAUGGAAUGUGGCUUGUUAUGAUGGGUCUACAUGAUGACUUGGAGUACAACCUGAUUGAGGCCCGGCAUACAGAAUUCAGUCCUGAACAUGUUUAGAAUGUCUUCUGCAUGACCUGGUAUAGAUAGUAUUCUUGAAGGAUUAUAACUUCAACACAGAGACGGAGAUUAAUAUUUUUAGGCAGGGGGUUGUCAUGACAGGCAAAUUCACCAACCGUAUUACCAUUCCUGAGCUGGAUGCCAGUCGACAGUGGUACCUGUAUAAUGAAAUAGCGCCCCUUUGCAGCAACAGCAAUGUAUGCUCAAAACCAGCAGUGUCAAAGCCAUUAAAAUUGAAGUCAUUUAAAACGA